UGGAUUGCGCAUGGGCGCAGCCUGAUCCAGCCAUGCCGCGUGAGUGAUGAAGGCCUUCGGGUUGUAAAGCUCUUUUGUCGGGGACGAUAAUGACGGUACCCGUACAAGAAGCCCCGGCUAACUUCGUGCCAGCAGCCGCGGUAAUACUAU
This 150-nucleotide ribosomal RNA is filed under the name uncultured bacterium. Its description in RNAcentral is "partial 16S ribosomal RNA". It matches the Rfam family "Bacterial small subunit ribosomal RNA", at positions 359 to 529 of the family's 1533-position model. The record is from RNAcentral.